CAGCGAGUGGGGAAUAUUGCACAAUGGGGGAAACCCUGAUGCAGCCAUGCCGCGUGUGUGAAGAAGGCCUUCGGGUUGUAAAGCACUUUCAGUAGGGAGGAAGGUAGUGUAGUUAACACCUGCAUUAUUUGACGUUACCUACAGAAGAAGCACCGGCUAACUCCGUGCCAGCAGCCGCGGUAAUACGGAGGGUGCGAGCGUUAUCCGGAUUUAUUGGGCGUAAAGAGAGUGCAGGCGGUUUUCUAAGUCUGAUGUGAAAGCCUUCGGCUUAACCGGAGAAGUGCAUCGGAAACUGGAUAACUUGAGUGCAGAAGAGGGUAGUGGAACUCCAUGUGUAGCGGUGGAAUGCGUAGAUAUAUGGAAGAACACCAGGUGGCGAAGGCGGCUACCUGGUCUGCAACUGACGCUGAGACUCGAAAGCAUGGGUAGCGAACAGGAUUAGAUACCCUGGUAG
RNAcentral lists this ribosomal RNA (454 nucleotides) under uncultured bacterium. RNAcentral's name for it is "bacterial SSU rRNA". It matches the Rfam family "Bacterial small subunit ribosomal RNA", at positions 349 to 793 of the family's 1533-position model. The record is from RNAcentral.